CGGAGGGGGCGAGCGUUGUUCGGAAUUACUGAGCGUAAAAAACGCGCAGGCAACUGCUCAAGUCAGGCGUGAAAGGCCUGGGCUCAACCCGGGAAUUGCGCUUGAGACUGGGCUGGCUUGAGUGCGGGAGAGGAUGGUGGAAUUCCCAGUAUAAAAAAUGAAAUUCAUAGAUAUUGAGAAGAACACCGAUGGCGAAGACGGCCAUCUGAGCCGCAACUAACGCUGAGGCGCGAAAGCGUGGGGAGCAAACAGGAUUAGAUACCCUGGUAGUCCACGCCGUAAACGAUGAGUACUAGACGUUAAAAGGCCUAGCCUUCCAGUAUCGCAGCUAACGCAUUAAGCACUCCGCCUGGGGAGUACGACCGCGAGGUUA
This 373-nucleotide ribosomal RNA is filed under the name uncultured organism. RNAcentral's name for it is "bacterial SSU rRNA". It matches the Rfam family "Bacterial small subunit ribosomal RNA", at positions 526 to 896 of the family's 1533-position model. The record is from RNAcentral.